CCUACGGGUGGCAGCAGUGGGGAAUAUUGGACAAUGGGCGCAAGCCUGAUCCAGCCAUGCCGCGUGGAUGAUGAAGGCCUUAGGGUUGUAAAGUCCUUUUAACGGGGAAGAUAAUGACGGUACCCGUAGAAUAAGCCCCGGCUAACUUCGUGCCAGCAGCCGCGGUAAUACGAAGGGGGCUAGCGUUGCUCGGAAUUACUGGGCGUAAAGCGCACGUAGGCGGCUCUUUAAGUCGGGGGUGAAAUCCUGGAGCUCAACUCCAGAACUGCCUUCGAUACUGAAGAGCUUGAGUCCGGGAGAGGUGAGUGGAACUGCGAGUGUAGAGGUGAAAUUCGUAGAUAUUCGCAAGAACACCAGUGGCGAAGGCGGCUCACUGGCCCGGUACUGACGCUGAGGUGCGAAAGCGUGGGGAGCAAACAGGAUUAGAUACCCCAGUAGUC
Molecule: ribosomal RNA, 440 nt
Filed under: uncultured bacterium
Lineage: Bacteria
Description: bacterial SSU rRNA
Rfam family: Bacterial small subunit ribosomal RNA
Source: RNAcentral